CGGGUCGGCCAGACGGUCGCGUCGCGGACAACGGCUUCGGCCGCGGUCCGUGCCGAGGAACGUCCGGGCUCCGCAGGGCAGGACGGUGGGUAACACCCACCCGGGGCAACCCGCGAGACAGUGCCACAGAGAACAGACCGCCACGGGCUCCGGCCCGCGGUGAGGGUGAAACGGUGGGGUAAGAGCCCACCAGCGGCCGCGGUGACGCGGUCGGCUCGGUAAACCUCGUUCGGAGCAAGGCCAGACAGAGCACUAUGGGGCUGCCCGUCCCGUGCUCGGGUAGGCCGCUGGAGGGCCGCGGCAACGCGUCCCCGAGAGAGAUGGCCGUCGAACCGCGUCGCGAGAGCGCGCGGGGAACAGAACCCGGCGUAUCGGCCGGCCCGCUCA
RNAcentral lists this RNase P RNA (387 nucleotides) under Agromyces seonyuensis. RNAcentral's name for it is "Bacterial RNase P class A". It matches the Rfam family "Bacterial RNase P class A". From Rfam's summary of the family: Ribonuclease P (RNase P) is a ubiquitous endoribonuclease, found in archaea, bacteria and eukarya as well as chloroplasts and mitochondria. Lineage: Bacteria; Bacillati; Actinomycetota; Actinomycetes; Micrococcales; Microbacteriaceae. The record is from Rfam by way of RNAcentral.